AUAUGACCCACAUAUUAAUUAAUUAAUAGAAAUUUAUAAAAAUGCGUUAUAUAUAGAGAAAUGAGUUGGAAUGUUAUCGGUAGCAAACGAGUUCUAUUGCUACUCAUUUAUUUUCAAUGAUGGAGCCUCUAAAUCGACGAUCAACACCGUUGAACAUGAUCUAUACCACUUGAAGUAUUUGAAAACUAAAUUUUAAAUCUUUUCGACAUUAUUAACCUAAUGAUUAAAGGGUUUCAAAAUUUAUAAUUUUAAUGAUAAAUAUGAGGUGUUUUCUCGUUUAAGGAUGUAAAGCUAUCCAAAUCAAUUGAAGUUUGAUUAGAAAAUUCUUUAAACUAUUUAGAACAAGAUCUAUACUCUCAAUCUUGAUUACAAAAUUUCUAUCAUCACUUUUUAGAAGAUAUUUAUUUUCAGUCGUUCAUUUUUAUUUGCAUUUGAUGGGCAAGAGAACAAUAUUGAAAAAAUAUGAAAUUAAUUUGGUUUAUAGAUAUACUUCAAAUAGUAUAUAUCAUAUUCAACGAUGUCGAUUAUCGAUUUGAAAGCUUCAUCAUAAAAAAUAAAUGGAUGCAACGAAAUCCGUUUGCUACCGAUAGCAUUCCAGCUCAACUCUGUGUGUGUGUGUGUGUGUGUGUGUGUGUGUGUGAAUUGAACAUCCAAUAAGAACCCAAACAAAAACCCCUGUAUAGAUCUAUCCAUAAUGCUCUUCCCCUACUAUAUAAAGCCAAGGAAGGGCUCCAUAUAUUUAUGUCCCUAGCUAGCUUUGUGAAUUCCAACACACCCCAAUUAACACACGCACCCCCUCCCAUAUCUACAGGGCCACCCACAUCCCCUCCUCCUAGGAUAAAACCCUAGCACCCCAAUCUCAUCCUCCCAAUGCCCAACUGCCACGUGUCAACCUCACUCACCACACAAAGCUUUCACCUCCAUGCACGUGAGGACAUGGAGAAGAGAUAAACCCUAGCUAUACGUUUUCUCCAAGUACCUAGCUCCCUCCCUUAAUUCCUCUCCUCGGCCUCCACCGUAGUUGUAAGAGUCAUGGGGGCUGAGAAUAGGGCUAAGUACUCUACCACCCACAUGGCCCCUCGAAACAACCCUAGCCUCCUCCGUCCUCAUCCGAGCUCGCUCUCCGGCGCCCUUAACGGCUGUCUCGGUUGCCUCGACGGCCCGUGCAUAGAGAAGCUCCUGCUCCACUGCGCCGCCGCCCUCGAGGCCAACGACAUAACCGUCGCCCAACAAGUCAUGUGGGUGCUCAACAACGUCGCCUCCGCAAACGGCGACCCCAACCAACGGCUCACCGUUUGGUUUCUUCGUGCUCUCAUUGCCAGGGCCUCUCACCUCUGCCCGACGGCCCUGCCCUUUGCCCUAGACGGCUCGUCGCAGUCGUCUCGAAGGCCAAUGACCGUGACCGAGCUUGCGGGCUACAUCGACCUCACACCGUGGCAUCGAUUCGGUUUCUCAGUCGCCAACCGCGCCAUCCUCCAGGCGGUCCAGGGCCACCGGAAGGUCCACAUCGUCGACUUCAGCGUUACGCACUGCAUGCAGUGGCCGACGCUGAUCGACGAGCUCGCCAAGCGGCCCCAGGGCCCGCCAGUGUCGCUACGAAUCACUGUGCCCUCGGCGCACCCUCCGGUGCCCCCUUCGCUCAAUAUAGCUACCGAGGAGGUAGGACUAAGGCUGAUGAACUUCGCCAAGUUGAGAAACAUCCCCUUAGAGUUCAAGGUACUCAAGACCAACUCCCCGGGUAACUCUUUGAGCUUUCGCCAACAAUUGGUUACCACUCCAUUGGAUCCAUCUUCAUUAGGAUUGCAAGAUGAUGAGGCCCUAAUCGUCAAUUGCCACAACUGGCUAAGAUACUUGUCGGGGGAUUCACAAGGGAAUGAUGAUAAUACAAGAGACUCCUCUUCCAAAGAUGGCUUCUUAGAGUUCAUUCAUGGCCUCAACCCGACCGUCGUGACCAUGACCGACGAGGACGCCGACUUGGACACUCCGAGCCUCUCCUCGAGGAUAAUGGGUUGCUUCAACUACCUUUGGAUACUCUUCGACGCCCUCGAAACCUCCUUCCCGAAGGAAUGCCCGGAAAGAACGGGGUACGAAGCCAACGUCGGCCAAAAGAUCGAGAACAUCAUCCGGUUCGAGGGGAGCCAAAGGAUCGAGAGGUCGGAAUCCGGCGCGCGCUUCGCGCAGCGGAUGAGGCGCGCGGGGUUCGGCGGGGUUUUGUUCGACGAGGAGACGGCGAGGGGGGUGAGGGUGCUGUUGAGCGAGCACGCGAGCGGGUGGGGGAUGAAGAGGGAGGAGGACAUGCUGGUUCUCACGUGGAAGGGGCAUAGCUCGGUUUUUACCAGUGCAUGGGUCCCCAAAGUGAUCUCAUGAAUCUAAGGACUUGUCCUUUGGAGCUAGGAGCCAUGCAUGGGCCAUGGCUUUUGUGGUUUCUCGAUCUUUCCUUACGAAGAGGGGGAGAGAGGGACAAGUCGAGAGAAAACGGCUGGUUUUGUCUUUUGCUUAUCAAAAGGCCAAGUUUUGAGUGGGGAGAGCAAUCUUUAUGGCUUGGGAAUGCACACAAGAUCAGUGGCAGAGCCAGAACUGUGUAAAUUGUCUUUACAUAUAUAUGUGCAUCAGUAAUUACUUGGAAGUGUAGCUUUAACAUGCUCUUCUUAUCUUUUGUUUCAGAUGAGUUGAACUCGCGCGAAGCGCGCGCUGAUAAACUAGAACUUUAAUUUUCUUCUAAGUUGUACUUAGAAAAUUGUCUCCUCAUUCACACCACUGUUUAUUGUACCUUUUAACUUUAUUAGCAAUGAGAAAAGUAAUUAAGGUUAUAUUUCUAAAUUUAGUUUAUUAAAGUGUCCUUCAGGUAUGACUCAACAAUGUUUCCUGUUGAACUUUUUUAGGCAAUUCACUAACACCACAACAAACUGCUAGAGUAUUGAUUAUAUACACAAUUACCUUUAAACCCAGGAUACAUAAUAUUAGAUGCUGGUUCAAAUCACGAUUAAAGCAUAAAUAACAUUGUUAAAAAAGGAACAAAAGAAAAAAUUUCUUCAUGUUUUGACAUAAGAAUAAUAGCUCAUAGAUAUUUUCUUUUUUGAGAAGAUUCAAGACAUAGAUUAGCUGAUUUAUAUGAAUAUGAUUUAUAUGAAUAUGUUUAAGUUCGCUCUGCUAUUUUGAGGUACACAUAUGCAUCCUCCAUUUGAGUAAGAAGAGAACACAAAUUUGGUAUUAUAUUUUGAUUGAAUUAAUUUAUCCAGUAAUGUGUAUAAGAAGCUACAAAAGCAAAUACAUCAGUGAUAGGAUAGAUGACUCUGCACUGACUAAUUAAACCACUGUGACCUGUAAUUCAAAUCGGAUUUGAACUCAAUCUCUACCUUCUCAGUGCUUCUUCAAUGCUUCCAGAUUUUGGCUAAUUAAAAAGUAUUCAAUAAUCGAAACAACACCAACAUUUGUUUUCACGAGCAGAUCCGAUUGAAGACGACAAUUUCAAUGCGUCGAUAAGAGCCGCCAUCGAACAAUGCUACAAUUUCAAUGUGUGGUUAAGAACCGCCAUCGAACAAUGCUGAUCUGUGUCAAAUUAAAACAUCUUAAUGUUUAGAAACACAGGUAUAACUAGGUAAUACAUAUGCUCAAGAAACUAUGUAACCUUGUCGAUGCCAAGUUACAAUGAUUCAGUGGAUUAUUAGAUUGGAGUGAUGAAAACAAACCAAUUGAAUGAAGGAUAGAUUCCAUUGCAAGGUUGAACCAACCACAACAAAUUUCUUACUCCUCACUAAACAUCAAAGUUUCAUUCCAAUCCAACCAUAAAAGUUGGAUACUUCUUUAUGUGAAUUAACUCAAUUAUCCAAGUCAAGUAUGCCUAUCUUAAAUUCUCCCUGAUGUUCUCAACGAAACAGGACAAAUAACACUUAUUUUUUUAACUUAAAACUAGAGGCACACUACAAAUGGUCCAAUUUUAUGAAACUGCAAGUAUAAGAGUAAAAAUUUUGUAUAAAUUCAUAUUCAUAAGCAGUUACGAUAAUUUGUUUUUCUAACUCCUAACUCUACAAUCCAUCGCAUAAAGUGUUUCAAGUUUUUAAGAUUUGAAUAUCCUACUUUGUUAGGUAACAAACCAACACUACUGAUUUCAUAAACAUAGCAAUAGUGCUGUAAAAUGGAUUCACCUGUGAAACCAAAAUUGAAGUGUAAAAAUUUAACAAUUAGAGUUUACCUACGAAACCGAUUGCUUAUUCGGCAUCUUUAAGCUCUUCUUCGAGUACUUAUUCGUCCGUGCGCGCUCAACGAGCUUCUCAGCCUCCUCUGCUCUCGACGCCGCAACCAACCCAUCCACCACUUUCUGCAGCACCGCCGCGUCCGCAAAGCACUUCCGACUCAUGCUAUCGUAGCAACACCUAAGGGCCAAAUCGAAGUCCCCCGCCUCGCAGAGAUGCGGAAUCAGCGCCUCAAAGGUCCCCUUGUUGGGGGCGCAACCGUUCUUCACCAAAUCCAAGUACACUGUUUUGGCCGCCUCCAAAUUCCCAAUUUUGCAAUGCCCUCUUAUUACAGCAUUGAAUGACGAAGUGUCGGGCUUCGGCCCGUCCCUCAUCAUUUGAUCGACGAGCUCCGCCGCCUCCUCGGUUCUCUUUUCCAGAACCAGCCCUCUCAGCUUCGCGUUGAAGCUCUUCACGUCGGGCUCGACGUUCCUCUCCCGCAUCAAGUUCCAAACUUUCUCGGCGUCCGGGAACCUGCCGUGGCCGAAGAAGCCGUUCAGCAGGGUAUUGAAGGAGAUCAGGUCCGGGGAUAUGCCGUGCUGCUCCAUGAGGCUCAGCACGUCGAAUGCGGCGUCGAGGUCGGGUUUUGCGCAGAGGGCGCGGAUGAGGAUGUUGUAGGAACAGAGGUUGGGGACGAUCGAGGGGUCCUCGGCGGGGAUUUGGUCGAAGGCGGCGAGGAGGGCGUCGGGGUUGGAGGAGGAGGAAUCGGCGAGGGCGGUGAGGAGGGCGUUGAAGGAGAGGGCGGAGCGGGGGGCGGAGAGGGAGGGGAGGCGGCGGAAGAGGGCGGCGGCGUGGGAGGGCAUGGAGGCGGCGCCGUAGAGGGAGAUGAGGCGGGCGGAGAAGCCCUCGUGAGAGAGGUCGGAGGGGAAGCGGAGGUGGGAGUCGAGGACGGCGGCGACGGCGUCUGGGCGGCCGGCGGCGGCGAGGCGGCGGACGGCGGAGGAGUAGAUGCGGUGGCGGCAGCGGAAGCGCGGGGAGGCUGCGGCGGCGGCGAUGAAGCNCGGGGGCGGCGCUGCUAGGGUUAGGGUUAGGGUUAGGGUUUGAAGGGGAAGGAGAGGAGGAGAGGAGGCGAGAGAGGCGGGGGCGGACGAGGAGGCGGAGGCGGGAGGAGGAGGAUGAGGAGAAGGACAUGGUUUUCGCGUCUCUUCUCGAAAAAGAAGGGUUUUGGGAAUUUAAUAAGGCUUUAGAGGGUUUAGGAAAAUGGGUCGGGCCAAAUUUUAGGAAAAUGGGGCCCAGUUGGAGUUUUUGCUGUUUCAUUAGAAUUUUUCUAAAAAAAAAGGGUUCCUUAGUCGUGCAACUUGGCCUAUGGGUGUAGGGUGCAUAACAAACUAAGACUUAGUUUGGUAUUAAAAUCUAUCUGAGGUUAUUAAAUAAAAUAGAGUUGGAAUAAAAUUAUAUAGGGAUAUGUUUCUGCGUUCUACAGUGAGACCGUAGAAAAUAUAUCGUAUCUUAACCGACCCAUCACGAUAUGCGGAACGUAAUAUUACGUAAGGAAACAAACAGACUAUUUUCUCAUCACACAAUUUCCUCGCAAUUCCAAAUGAAGUUUAAAUUUUUAGUCAUUUAAAAAUAAUACGAAUGAAGUUUUCAGUCAUUUAAAUUUUAAUAUUUUAAUUUGAUUUGCGUCUUGAAGUACAAAUUAUUUGUCAAUGUUUGGGGUGCUUUUUUAAACCCCCAACAUAAAGAGCUGGAACUUCCAACAGUAUUGCCUUCCUAAUUUUUAUUAAUCUCAAAUUAGCCUCUGAUCAUUCAUGGCAAUGCCAUGCUUUAAGAAUGGAGUCUUUUCUUGACACAGUUAAUGAAUGAUUUUUUUUUUAGUUUUUUUAAUUUAAUUGUUUCAGCAAAGAAGAUCUUGAAUGAGUAUUGAUUUUAAUGUUUUGAGGGGAGUAAAAAUAAAUUAGAAUUGAUGGAAUUAUGCAACUGAAGAACAAAACAAAAAAAUAAAAAAUAAAAAAUCAAGCAAUGAAAAACCCAUGAACUAUAUUUAACACAUUAUAAAAAGAAAGAAAAGAAUAGCUCUGAGAAACAUAAAAUAUCAUGUGCAAAUUUUUGACCACAACCACUUAUAUGAUUCUAGGUAUAAUAAUCAUUUACGAUUUUACAGACCCAAUCCAUCAUCCAAAAAAUUGGCCAAUUUUUCUUAAAAAAAAUUGCUAAUAAAUCACUGUUGUGGAGUCACUUAAUCACCCAUUUCCCUCUCAAUAUAAGUGAAGGACCCCAAAAAAAAAAAAAAAAACUUUUUUAGGUUGAGAAAAAGAAAACAGGGGGAAAGUGACAAAGUGAUAGUUAAUUAAGCAAUCAAUAUAUAAAUAAGAGUAUAAUUAAUUGGCUAUUUUAGGUGGUGUGGCACACUAUAAAGCAUUUCUUAAACAAGAAAAUUGAGUACAGUGUGACCAAUCACCCAACAAUAUUAACUGCUCCCGCCAAAACCCAUCUUGCUAAAGGGAUUGAACACUUGUUACCUGGAUUGGGUUCACCACUUCAUCCAUGGACCAAGUGACAAAGAGCAAAGGAUCAUCAGUCAAAUCAGAAACUCGGACUUCAAGCUUUUAUUUUUUUAGCAUUUAAGGUCCACUCCACGGGUUCAUUUGGUAUUAAAAAUCGGCUAAGACUUCUGAUGAAAAAAAUAACUAAGAGCGAAUUCUUCAACCAGACCACAAAAUAUAUUUUAAUCAAGUUAUUGUCAUAUACACAAUGUGUCUUUUUUUUGCCGCACAUAAUCUAACUGUAAUCCUAAAUAAAUGUCGUCACAAAAAUUUACAAAUUUUCUAACUAUCAAAUAUUUUGUAAUAAGUAAUUAUAACCAAAAGCAUAAUAAAAAAUAGAAUCAGACUCUUAUAUUUUCUCAAACACUCUAUAAAAUUGGCUAUGUAGCUAAAAGCAUAAGUAGAAGCAAAAAAACAGCUAAUAGAGACGCGAAACGGUUUCCUGGUAUAUAAUUUGACCGGUCUAGUAGACCCGGUCCAGCUAAUAGUCUGUAUCGACCCAAACAGAAUCGUACGGCCUCUCACAGUCCUUUCGCCGCCACCAUGAGAUUGAUUCCUCGUCCCCCAUGUCCUGUAAAAAACGUUGGAGUUAGAGAGAGAGAGUAGAGAGUAGUGAAUCGAGAGUUACUUGUUGGGGAAAGCAGAAGUUUCUACAGCGAACAACAACCAAUGCCGCGGCGGCCGCGGGGCGCUGCUGCAUCGCAGGCCGCCGAGGCGGAGGCGGAGGCGGAGGCGGAGUUAGAGGCGGAGCUGCAGGGCGACUUCGUCGACUCCGUGCUCGACAUGGAGGGUGGCAUCGGCGGGGAGACGCCGAUGGAGAAGUGGGAGAUGAGGUUCAAGUCGAAGAAUCUGGAGGCCGAGAGGAGGAGGAGGGGGAAGCUCAACACCAACAUCUUGGCCCUCCGUGCUAUCGUGCCCAAAAUCACCAAGGUUCAAUUUUUUUUUUCUCUUUAUUUCCCCUUUUUUCCAAUUUUUUUUUUUAGUUAUCUUUUUUUUUAAUUAUUAUUAAUGUAGUAAGGACCACCCCGCUUAAUUAUUAUUAGGCUAUUAAUUUUGGAAAUUAUUUGUGUAACUUUGUUGUUUUUUUCUUUAAUAAAAAAAUAUUUAAUCGGAGUUGUUAUAGAUAGUUUAAUUAAGGACUAUAUCAGACUUAUUAAUGGUUUUUUUAUCUGUUAGUUGUGGAUUAUUGGUGGAACUUGUAGUCUUAUUGUUUGCUAAAAAAUGAUUAAAAAUGUUAAAUUUAACAGCAUUUUUAUUAAAUUUAUUAAAAUUUUUAUGUAACUGAUUUGAAAUUGCUAAAAUAAAAAAAAAAGUUGGGAUGGGAUGGUCUCUAUAUAUUUUACAAUUUUACAAUAAACAAUCUGGUAAAAGGAAAAAAAAAAAAAAAAAAAAAAAAAAAAACAACAUGACAAUCAACAGUUCCUAAUGUAAGUGACAAAAAAUUUAAUGAUUGGAACAAAAAGUUUUAAGUUCAAAGUUUAANAAAACUCUUCUUUGCUGUUGUUAAGGAAUUGUUUUUGGUGAUUUUAGAUGAGCAAGGAAUCGACCCUCACCGACGCGAUCGAUUACAUUACGCUGCUGCAGAAGCAAGUGCUUGAUCUACAAACAGAGCUCUUAGAAACAGAUGGAGAUCUUAUUCAUAAAAAUGAAGCAAAUGAAGAUGAGGAGGGAGAGAAGCAGAGGAGUCCAAGUUCUGAAACAGUUGCUCCCUCUGUGACAGUGCAAUGUCAGGUAAUUUAGUUUUUUUAUUUUUCAAGAAAAUUAAAAUGAUAGAUAAAUUAAAUAUUUUGAGUUUCCAAAGUAGAAGUUUAAAAGUAAAUUAUUAUGAAAAGCAAUUGAUAUAUUGGUUUUUUCUUUAAGAAGAGAUUUUAAUAGAAACAUCCAAUAAAAGGAGAAAAGAAUAGGAGGUGAUAGAGAUUAAGCUAAAAAAAUUUGUUAAACUUAAAAUACUAAAAAAAAACACUUGGCGAGGAUGGUCUCUAAUGUGAGACCGUCACAUUUGUCAUUCAUGUGGCUUUGAAAUUCGUGUCAUUCACGUGAUUAAUAGCAGAUAGGAUAGUCUUGAAAUUGAGGACUGUUCCCAUCAAAUUUGUGUUGUUCUGUGUUUUGCUGUACAUUUAGUAUAAUAGUGAAAGUAUACAAUGAAAUGCAUGGGGAGGUGGUUUGGAUGUGGAGGAUAAACAUUUCAAUGCUCAAAAAGAGGAAGAAGAAAAAAAAAGACAAAAUAAUUUUUUUGGUGUUGUAGCAUUUUGUCUCCUAACCACUUUAGAAAUGCUUGAUACUCUUUGCCAACAGGGGCAGGUUGAGCUAAUACCUAUGGGCCCAAACAAGUACCAGCUGAAGAUAAUGUGCAAGAACAGGAUGGGGCAGUUCACCAAAGUUCUAGAAGCUCUGAGCUGCUUCAAUGCAGAGGUUGCUGAAAUAAGCUCUGUGGCCUUCUUCGGCUUCUCGAAGAGCGUGUUCUCCGUUGAGGUGAGUCCACACAAACUAAAAUAUCCUUCUACUAGUGAAGUAAGUGAUUAAUUGUUUAUGUUUUUCUUUUUUUUUUCUCUUUGUAUAGGUGAAGGAAGGAGAAGAGGGUGAAAUCAUAGAAUUAAGAAAUCUUUUGUUAGCACUUGUUGGAGCCUCGGAAAAUUGAGCUGCUUCAGAAUUGAUCUUUAUGACUUUGAUUUGAAGCCACUAAAUGUUACAUGCUUUUGUAGUUUAUAACAAAUGUCAGCAAUAUAAACAUAUAGAACAACUUGUGGUUCCUAGCAAUUGAAUCUUAUGCAGAAUUACAAAAUAAUAUAUGAUUAGUUGAAAAGCUUAUUGAGUAUGGAUAUUAAGCUAAAUUUUUUGUUCUACUUGUGGGCUAGUAUUAAAAAUUUUUAAUACUAGCCUUUUCUAUCUUUUCUAGUAACUUAAAUCAUUUACAGUGGCAUUUUUGUUUAGCUCUUUCACACAUUGGUUUCUGAUUGUGAUACUUUCAACAAAAAACCUAAGUAAUAAAAUGGAGGUUAAUUAGAUUUUUACCAUAUUUAAUGUAGUAAAAUAAUGCAGCUUUUACUAUUUGUAACUUUUAUUAUUUAUCUACAUGGUCUUGGUAAAUGGUAAAUGGUAAUUUUUUGGGUUUCUUCCAAGGAAGCCUUAUAGGCCAUGUGCUUAUAGGCCUCGGCAAAUUAGCUCUACUGGGUGAAUUCAUGAAAUAAACUGCUAAGGAAUGCGAGGAAAUAUAAGACGAAAAGCAUGAACAACUACUACAAGCAUAUAAAUUCUUCGAAAAUGAGAAGAAACUUGGCGGACGACGCUAACUUGCUAAGAUUAUUUACUUUUUUUUAUAAAAGAGAAUUGUAUUAUUAUCCAAUUGAUGCUGAACCAAUCUUUUCCCAACAUAUAGGCUAAUCACUCCACUAAAAUGCCAAGUGUUGUGCCUUGGGCAUUGUACUUUUCCUUUGUUUAGAAGGAUCAAUAAAAAAAGAAGAAUCUUUCAGGCUGAAUCAAAUGUACAUUGUCAUGGCCUUGUCUCCAACUUGGUAUAGUUUUGGUUCAUUUUAGUAUAAAAGCAAAUCAGUAACUUUGUAUGAUAAUUCAAUUGCCGACAUACGGAUAUCUAACAAGUGACAGCAGACAUCAGUAAGCAGCAAGAAGAAUCUAUGGGCUACAAGAUCGAGACUUUAUCGCUCGUGUGCAGAGAUCGUAAUUAACAAAACAGCAAAUGCAGAGAGAUUCCGAGUCACUCCGAGGUUCAGUGAGGUGGCAUUGAUCUGUCUAUCAGAUUUUUGAAUGACCAUGUCACCGAUUCUAAGUACAUUUGAAGCAAUUUUCCAAUUUAAUUAUGUGAAAGACAACUCAUUCUCAUAGUAUCUGCUAUUCUGCAGGUCAAAAGGACCAAAACUUAGUCAUGCAAUUCAGAUUAGAUACUCACAUAUCAGGAAGCUUCCAUUUCAUAAAUUUAUAAAUAAUGCCAACCAAAGGUAGAUUGCUUUCGAUCUGCGGUACAAAUUUUGGCUUUAUCAUAAGUCGAAACAGUAUUAUAUACGGUAAUGAAUCGUCAAAGGCCUUUUUGUUUCUCGUCUCAGGGACAUCAAUUAGACGCUCACUUGAGAGUUGGUAACACAUAAUGUGCACAUUAAGAUCUUAUUUUAUCUUGGGAUAAUAUAAGGACAAUGUAAAAUGAUCUGAAACACCCUAAUUGAACUCCGGCAUAUUUGUCUAAAAGUUAUGAAAUGGCCAUUAAACACAAAUUGAAACCAAAUUAGCUUUUGGUACUAAUUGUAAAAUUUGCCUUGGCAAACUUACUAAAAAGAUCUAAUCAUUCAAUUUUUGUUGAUCCUACAUUAGAAAAGUAUGCCUUUAUGCUCCGAUAUAGCAAAAUACCGUCGAAUUAAGAAAAGGAAAGUUAACUAGAGAAGAAGCAAUUAGUCCAUCAAAAUAUAUAGACAAUAAGGCCGCACGGGGGUAGCUGUCACAAAUGAAGAAGCAGAGAGAGGACAUCCUCGCGCACGAAGAAGCUCCUGUCUCAUAAAAUUUGUUAUAGUGCCAACUAAGCGAAAAAUAUUUAUAUGCCAACAAAGUGAUGAGCGAAGAUGUCGAGUUUGGUGAUCAUCUAUUGAACUCAAUUAAGUCCAAUGUUUUACUCAAAAUAAAAAAGUCCAAAGUUUCUGAUCUGAAGAGCGUUAAGGGAAUACUCCUAUCACCUCUUAGACCCGUUACAAUUUUACACGAGUAUAUUGUUUCUACCGAAACAACACUUUUGUAAAAAUUCCGAAUAGUUAGAAUAGUAAUAAUGAACAUUAUUGCGAGUGAACCGAUUUUAAGGGCUUCGUCUUUAGACUAAGUUUCUUCUGAGAAUUCGCAAUCAACUGUUAAAAUAGUUUGAGCAGAGCAUCAUUUAAAUUUGAUUAAUUUGCUGUAAAAUGUGAUCCUGCUGUACCCCUCAAUGUACACUGCAAUGCACCAUUUUCCAAGAGGCUUCUAUAAAUCAAUUUCAGAUUCUAGUGUAGGACACAAGUCCUGCUACUCACCCCAAUGAGAAAACCCAGUUGUUAAUUAAUCCUUGUCAUUAUGUAAAGAAACAGGUGUCACUCCUUAAUAAAACCAUCCACCCCAGUAAUCACCUCCCUUAAUCAAUAAAAAAAACUUUGUUUUGUGUAACAUAAAUUAAUAAUAAAUCAGUGUGACUUUCCCACUACCUGAAAUUAAGAUCCAACAUUGAAAGCCCCCCCCACCCAACACUCCUUGUAUCUAACUUAGUAAACUAAUCCAAUCCUUUCACACCAAACUUAACAAACAAAGUCAUUAACAAACCUCUAUGUAUAAGCCCUUAUAUAAGGCCACAAAUCUCCACUCUUUUGUACUACAAAUUCUCUCUUCAUCUUUCUUUGUGUUCCAAGUUUGAGACACUGCAGUAAACCAUCGAUGGCUCGCGUGAUUCUGUUCUGUGUAUUAGCUGCUGAUAUUGUUACGACUCUCGCAACGGCUCGAUCAUUUCCGACUGUCGAUAGGACCACUGCAAUUCAGAUUGAUAGGCCAAUGGUUGCUGAUCCCCCUUCUUCUUCCUCUUCUUCUUAUGCUGUAACUUCUAGUGCUUCUUUCGAGUCGAGACCUGCGGAGGGGCCUGCAAGCUUUCAUCCACAUGUGAAGCACCGGCCGUUCGACCGAUCUCUCGCCGGAGGGAAGAUCAUACUUGGAGGGCUUGCGGCCGCCAUUUUUGCCGCUGUUUUCUGCUACAUUCGCAUCACUAGGCGGAAAAGCGGAGAGCCAAAGUCUUGAAACUGUUCAAUUUUUUUUUCUAUCUCUUUUGCUUCUUCUUUGGCCACCCUUGUAAGAUUACAUAUAUUGUUACAGACAAAUUGUAUCCUUUUGAUAUUGUGUCAUACAGAAAGAAUUAAAUGACAUGAUUGCAAAUGUUACAGAAGUUUCAAACUAUUGAUCAGGGCAUUGAUCAGAGGAUUAUGCAAUUAAAAUUAAGAGUUCAAAUCAAAAAAGGAAAGAAAUAAAUAUGGUUAUUCGAGAUAAUCUGAGGAAAAAUGCAAUCUUGAAUAAUGUUAGUAAUCAAUGCAUUUCUUUAAAAGUAAAGUAUAACCAAUAAAUUUUAUGGGCCUUUUGAUAAUUUAGUCAUAUUAUCACUUCACAAACAAAAGGAUAAUUUAGUCUCUAUUAGUAAUCUCACUCCAUACAUGAGGAACUAUUUUUUUUUUAACUUUGCUUUUGAAAAGCUAAUGAGAUACUAAUUAAGCUAUAUUCUAAAGAUAUCUUUCUCCCAAAUUUCUCUUUUUGGAAAGAAAUGAUUGAACUCCUUUUUGUGGUGAAGAUUUAGUUGUACUAUUCAUGCACAAAAAAGUUACUUGAGCACUAAUCUGAGCACUAAUCUCGCGCAAGUCGAAAUCUUUAUACGAAACCAAAUUACUCCAUUAGUUACAAUUUCAAGCGUGCAAAAUUCUCGACUUCAUGUCGGAUCAAAAGAAGAAGCAGCAGCAGAAGAAGGAAAAAAACAAAUUGCACUUCAUAUUAGACUAGUUUUCUGCAAUUUUCAAAGUGAUCAGGAGAUAUGGCUAGUAUUACAGCUGGCAGGAACUUCGAACUUCCUACAUCUUCAACAUCAAGUUUGAUAAAUUAAAUACGAUAAUUAUGAUGCUGGUUUAUGUUAAUGCUUUAAUUGCUCACUAUCUAUGUACAGAGAUGUAAUGCUACAGUACAGAAACAUAUAAACAAUCAAUCCAUCAGUAACUUCUUUUUUUUUCCCUUUUUUUUCGGAAGAAUCCAUCAUUAACUUUUAACUUACUACCGACUGUUCUUAGAGCAAGUGGCAAAGAACUUAAUGGUUGGUACCCGAGACCCAAGUUCGAAUCCUAGUUGAUUCACAUUUUCAGCUAAGUUUAUUUCUAAGUGAAACAAACGAAGCGGGUAGCGUGCUACCUGUCUCUCAAAAAAAACUUUUAACUUACUACAGAGACAGAGAUGGUACUCAAAGUAUGAUUAUAGCAGUUCGGGAGGCAAAACAUUUCUAUAUAAUAACCUUUUCAUACAAUAUUGGUGGUUGGUACUCUUGAUUGUCUCUAAUGAGUCAAAACACACACACACACACACACACACCAUGUUCUUGUGGGACUUAAUUAUGAAUCGAAGGCGAUUAGCGAGUAUAACAAUAUGGAAACAUCGAAACAUAGAGAACCUUACAGAGUACACAUUGCAGGGGGAAACAACUUGUGCCAUAACUAAACUAUAUUUUUUUAUCUUUGAACGUGCGCGUACUUUUAAUACUAAUGAUGCAGGUGUUCUAUGGAUAAGUAGCAUUAUGUCUCCUGAUCUCUAACAUUUCCUGAAAAUAUGCAAAUGAAAAUGGUACAUAUAUAUUAUUUUUCAUUCACUUCCAAUAAUACACUGAUACAACUUAAGUUUUAACUAUAAUUAAAGUAUGGACACAUUUAAUUAACCAAGGUAAAGCUUACAAUUUUACACAUUAGAGAGGCUAAAUUACAGAAAAUCCCCUUGUAAUAACCCGCUUUUUUACUUUCGCCCCCUGACAUUUAAAAACCUACACUUUGCCCUCUUGUAAAAUGAAAAAUCUGCAUUUCAUCCCCUACCGUUAAGGUUCUGUUAUAAAAUAUUUUUUUAUGCCGAAAAUACCCCUCCGCCCUCUUUCUUAUUGCUUCGCCUCCCUCCGGCUCGCCGCCUCGCCGUCCUCCACUGCCUCGCCUUCACCUACAUCCCUUUCGCCCUCCUCCGCCGCAUCGCCUUCGUCCUUGUUGCCCUUGCCUACCUCUCCAUCAACACCCACCUCGAUUUUCUCCCUACUAUCGUCGAAAUCGAGAGACGGCGAGGAUGCAGGAGGAGAAGAGGAGUAGGUGGAGAAGAAAAUGGAUAGAUAUUGCGGCCAAUUGAGGUGGGAAUCGUGGUCGAUCGAAGGGACGGCUGAGGAAGAUGAGGAAGAAGACGAAAAUGGCGAGGGGCGAAAUGGUCAUUUUACAUAACGUAAUCCCCCUAUAAAUAUUUUUUAUUUUAAAAAAGAUAAAGUGUAGAUUUUAAAUGUCAGAAGAAAAAAGUAAAAAAACGGAUUAUUACAGAGAUUUUUUUGUAAUUUAGCCUAUUAUAUAUUAAGCUACAUUUAUGCCUUUCCUAUUUAAGGUAAGGAAGAUCCAAUUGAAACCCAGCUCUAAAACAAGCUAAAUGGAUAUGGAUUUGGUUUUAUUGCUUGUUAUUCGAUGAACUCGAAAACAUUCCCUAACACAUAAAAAAAUAAAGUAAAAGAAAAUUAAAAGGACCUAAUAAAACACCAAUGAGUGAGUAGUAUUUACUGAGCUAUCAUUGGAAUGGACCACGCAGAAAUUCUCUUUCCCAUCUGAAGUAAGAUCUAGCUGUCCAUUCUUUAAUUUAUAGUGCUACAGGUGUCAUUUCUAUAACUGCAGUCCUAUCACAAAUGAGAAUACUAUUCAAGCAACCUAUUUUAGUCAUAUCAUCUUAAAUUAAAAUUUUCUUAUAAUCUUUGCUGUUUCACAAAUAAAACUAGAAAUGCAAACGACAAACGAGACGGAUUCGGAGGCGGAGAAGGACUGACUUUUAUCUUUUUUUUUUUUUUUUGUCUACAGUACUUAUCGAUUUAUUCUGAAUAGAUCAGAAUAAAAGAGAAUUAGGACGGAUUAAAGGAAAAAAACAAGGGUCCCCUAUUUUUUGCUGCUUUUUUUUUUUUUUUAGGUAGAAGCGGAUUCAGGACGAGUGAUGUUAUUUUUUAUUUUCGCUCUCUAGCUAGUUAUUCGGAAUGCAUCGGGACAGAAGCUAGCUCCACCAAACUUAGAGAUUUAUUAACUUAAUAUAUUGUCAUAAAAAAUUCUAUAAAUUGUUUGUUUGGCAAACAAAAAAUAUUUAAAAAAUUAUAUAUAGUAUAUUUUUAAAAAAUAGGAGGUGCAUGCAACACCAGCUGCCAAUGGGCCUGUAAUGAAAGGAAUCUUCACUGAAAUCUACCACCACCUAACUACAUAAAAAGUGCCCCACUGUCUUUUACCAAAAAUAAAAACAAAACCAAAAAUAAAAUAAAAUAAAAUAAAAUAAAAUAAAAAAGCAGUAAUUCAUAUCAUGCAACACAACUCCCCCUCAACUCCACCCUUGUAUAAAGGGCUUACUGCAACAACAAGAGAGCUCCAAAAAUCUCUAACCCCAACAAUCACCAUCAAUGGCUCCUCCCCUCCCUCCUCAUUUCUUCUCUCUUUUACUUCUUGCUAAUCUCCUCGUCAUCGUCGCUGUAGCUCGGCCUCUUUCGACGGUCGAAAGAGCCAAUGCAGGUGAGCCCACUAUGGCUUAUGCACCAUCUUCAAGCUUGAAUCCAAUUGAACUACAUAUGACAACUUUUGCGGGCGCACCGGAGAUCAGCCUGCCUCAUCAUCGACAGCAUCGAGCCUUCGACAAAUCGUUCGCGGGAGGGGAAGUGAUCCUCGGUGGGCUCGCCACUGCGAUCCUCGCCGCCGUCUUCUGCUACAUUAGAGUCACUAGGGAAAGAGUGGAAGAUGAGAAAUCUUGAAGUGGUUGUAUUAACAUGUUUUGCUUAAACAAGUUUUACAAAUGCUACUUUAAGUGAAAAUCAAUGUAUAAAGAGGCCAUCUUGGAUAUUGAAAUGGAUAGGAUAUGUUGUGUAAAAUAUUCUUCUAUGUUUUUCCCCAUUUUCCUUAGUUUUGUUUAAAUUUAAAUAGGUUCUGCCACUCUUGCAAAAAAUGGCUACAGCUAUUGUUUAUUGCUUACUUAAUUCAUCAUUGUUUUUUUUUUUUUUUUCCUUUCGUACAUAUGUCAUUACUUUUCUUCUUUUGGUUUCUCUUCUUCUCAUAAAAUGUAGAGAUCAUAAACAUGUGGAGUAGGUGUUGAAUCAUUACUUCACCCUUUGCUUAAAAUUAACCCUUCACAAUACUUCAAUCAUUUGAUGCUUAAUUAUCAAAAUAAAUUAAUGGCAAAAGGAAAGAGCCAUAUACAUUGUACAAAAAAAGAAAAAGAAAAAAGAAAAAAGAAAAGUAGGGGUGGGGCCAAACUUUCUCCAUGAGCUUGUGGUUUUCAAUUAGUUGUCAUUAGUGUUUAGUAUCUUGUAGAUGUUAGGUCAGGUCUCUAGCCAAAGAAAGGUUUAUUGAAUACAUGUGGACUUAAUUUGUUCAAUUAAGAUCUUAUAAUUAAUGCAAUCACACCCCAUUUAUCUUUGCUAACAUAGAUAUUUUCCAAACUCGAAUUAAGCUCUAGAUUUGGUUUCCAUUAUUUUUUAUGAUUUACCGAAGCUAACGCAACAAUACUGCUUAGACCUAUUAAUAAUAAGAAAUACUUAAACUAGAGUGUGUCAAACUUCUCACCAGUAGCUGGUCAGCCAUGUUUUAAAAGCGAUCCUCUACCCCUUCUUCUUUUCUUAAUUUAUUUCUUUUCCACCCCAGCCUCUACGCUCUUCUUAUGCUUGUUACUUUUUUUUUUGCCUGUAUUUUUGUCUGUUUCUCGGAAGCCCAAGCUGCUUCCAACAUGUAUGCCCAGUUCAUUUAACUUAAUGAAUGAAUCAGCUAGCUCGCUACCUAUUUCUCAAAAAAAAAAAAAAAGAAAUCUUAAACUGAGUUACUAGUACUAUUAUUCUGCGAAUUACCCUUUCCCUUUUUGAGUAUGACUAAUUAGGUGUAAGCCACACUAACGAAAUAAAGUAAGUUAUCAGCAGCUGAGAUAUUGAGUCUUCAGCUGAUAAUUUGCUAGUGCGUCAUUCAACCGAGUUGCAUUCUCUCUAUUUCUAAAAAAGGUUAGUGGUUAUAUAUUUUCAACGCUUUCUCAACAUCUUCCAACACGAAACUACUACUUUUUUCGGUGUGACAUAUGCAAGGAUAUAUAUAUAUAUAUCCUUCAUGGAAAAAGAAACAAUAGAUCUUAUCUUGCUUUACAUGCAUGGGAGAUAUUAAAAAUCAUGGUCAUGUCACCUUCAAAGGAUUAAAAGAAGGUAGGCCUAACAUGUGCAGAUAUAGCUGAUCAUCAUAUAUCCAAUAAUAUUGCUUUAAUUGGUAGUAAUUCAUGCAUGAUUAUGAGUGGUCAUCGGUCCAUGUUUUAAUUGCUGGACCCAUGAAACUAAUGACUAGCUAGUUCGACCAAUGUGUGCGCUAUGUAUCGACGUGUGCCCAACCAUGACCACACUUGUUUCAGGCUCAAUUUUGAGUCGUGAAAUUAAGCAAAUGUUUGGUUGGAGCGCUCUCACUUUUUCUUUUGUGGCCCCAGCGCACGUGCGCGUGCAUGUGUGUGAGCUACUACAUGAAUGCACCUCAUAAGGCCAGGAUCCUUGUAAGGUGAUAUGGUCCACCUUCAAAACAUAAUAUUGGCUCAUCCAGAGUGUAGUAAGUUGCACUUAAUGAGAGAAAGAGAGAGAGAACCUCAUAUAUAUCAGGUGCUUAAAUGCAUGUUGAGCUGGUGAUAGCAAAAACUCAUCUCUCAAUCAUUGAUGCUUGAUUCAUUGCUGAUCCAAUAAAUCUUUUGAAUAUAUGAUGGAACGAUCAUGAUUGAUUUGAUUUAAUGUGAUAUUUAUGAUUCUAUGACGCACGUGGAAUCUUGCUGUUUGAGAAUAAGUGCUCGAUCGAUCGCGUUGUCUUUAAAACAAUUUUUCUAUUCCAAUGAGUGGCAAUCGUGCACUAUUUAACAAACAAAAUUUACUAUGGCAAGAAGUUAAAAUAAACUUUUAGAUUACUAGUUUUCCAUAGCACAUAUAUGCAGGUCCGCCAGAAUUAAUUCUCUCGGCAUCGUUGACGGAUAACAUUCAUGCACAACCAUGAUCUCAAAGCCUAUCGACUUACACCGCGUUUUAGAAUCAGUAAGCUCUUGCAUUAUUUGCUUGAUUUGGUUUAGUGGAUUUAAGAAAUGUUUAAGUAAAUCCUUCAUUUAUUGUAAAAAGAAAAAUUUUGUAAUCAACAAUAGAGUCGGUUACUUACGAUUUACGAACUAGCAUGGUUCUUUGCAGAGUUCCAAUGGACUCGGCACCGCAAACAAGCCACUUGCCGACUUUCUCCUACUCCGAGGAGUCGGCGAGCUUUCGACCUCGGCGCCGUCUUCGUUCAUUCGUAAGCACCAAGAAAACAGAUUGCGGCGGAUGCAUUGAGGAAAUUAUUGGCAGUGCCUGGUUUACCACGUCAGCCAUAGACUGUACAGCAUUUACUGUCAAUCUCUAUAUACGUUUUAAACUUUCGCCCUUCAUUAAAUUUCAUCAUAUCUUUUUUUUUUUAUAACAAUUAUUUACUAUAUAUAUAUAAUUUGAGGAUAAGUUAUAAUUUUAAAUUUAAUUGUAUAGUCAAAUUUUAAUUUUUAAUUUUUUAUAGUUAAACUUAGAACUAAAAAGUUUUAUCUAAUUCCUCUUAUUUUUUUUGCAGUCCACGGAUGACGUGGUGAACUUCGUCCACGCAACAAUUUUUCCCGGAGAAGUAAAGCGGUGCAAGAGAGAGAGAAGCAGAGAACGCUAUAGAACGCCGUAUAAAGGGCGUAGGGGAUUGAACGAAACCGUAACCUUAAACCCUAGGGCAGAGGAGAUCGAGAUCGAGAGAGAGAGAGAGAGAGAGAGAGCAAUGGCGACGGAGAGCUCGGCCAUGGCGGUGAUCAGGGCCUCGCGCCCCUUCUUUCGCAACUCCCACGACAAGGUCGCCUUCGCCGUCCACGCCUCCUUCCUCGCCGCCGGCUACUCCCUCGCCGCCGCCGGGAAGAGCGCCUUCACCGAUCACCUCCCCUCCGGUUGGUAUCAAUUCCCUCCCCGAUCCCAUCUCUCUUUGAAACCCUCGGGUUCCGAUCUAAUUCCUCUUUGUUUGAUUUGUUGUUUGUGUUGCAUUGCAGGGGAGGAGGAGGUGGGAAUCGAUGGGUGGAACGAGCUUGAAGAUCGCUACGCUUUUGUUUACUUUAAGAAUGAGAAGGGGGUAAAAAAGCGAGUUCUGGUCAAGUGCUUGGCGAUUGGAGAUAAGCUCGCUGUAGAUGUGCUGAACCUUGAAGGGGAGCAAAAGGAACCUCUUCAUCUCCAAAUCAAGUAUGGAUUCGUUUGUAAAAAUUGAAACCUUUUCCUUUUUUUUGGGCAAUUUGUGUGGUUAUUGUUGAUUCUGUGUUACUGUUCGUGGUUGCAGUGUGAAGGAUUACUUGUCUGACGAUGGUGUUGAUCAACCGAGAAAUUAUGGGGAUAUGUACAAGGAUCUUAAGGGCCUUGUUGAGAGCUUGAAGUCUAGUGUUUUGGAUAAAUUGGAGGAUGGAUAUGAACGAAAAUUGAAUGCCAAAGUCGAGACCUCUUCAUCUUCUCGCAGGUCUCUUCAACUUGAAAUUUGGAUCUCUGAGUUUAAUAUACUAGUUUUAAUCAUUAAAUUCUUGUGCCAUUUAACUUAUUAGAAAAAUUACUUUGAAAACUGAUUUGAGAAAUGCAUAGAAGCCUCUUAGAGAUAUGUGUUAACGGUGUUAAUUGCUUGGUGAUUUAAGAUUUGUGAUGUGGUUGUUAUGCAACAAGGUUUGUCUGUUUAAAUGUUUUGUAUGUACCAGCGAUAUCUGCUAUGUGACAUUGAUAUAUUAUUCGACAGGUAGACUGGUUUCUUUGUGCAACACCAUUCUCCUUUCAACUGACAAAUCAUGUAUAAACUAUAUAACCAAUUGAGUGUAGUUCAGUAUAAUUGUGGGUUUGUAAAGGUUUAUUAGUUACUUGGUGCUCUAUCACAGAUCAUGCAUUGGAGAUUUGUGGAAGUACAAUAAAAGCAUAACAGUGUAGCAUAAUGCUUUGGCAGUAUUGGGGUAGUUGGGUGUUGGAAGGAGCAACUUUGAAAGAUUUAGGUUAUAAAUUUAGCACAGGAGAGAGAUUAAUUGAUAAUUAGGGAAGUUGAAUAAGGGCCAAGUUUCUGUAGGUAAUUAGUGGGCUUCGAGACAAGAUGUUAGUAGGUGUAGAGGCAUUUGAACUUGUGUCAAAGUGAAUUUGGAAGAAUAUGUGAUAAUUCAUGACAUGAAUGAACAAUAUCACAGGUUGAUAUGCUUUUAAGAAACAUUUCACUUUCUCACGAUACAACUUGAUGCAUGUGUAUUGAGUAGGUCUCUGGUUGGUUGCCCCCCCUCCCUACUAUACUGUGGUUGCAUUCGUGUAUGCUCGUAUAUCAUGAUUAAUUGCUAUUUUUUAUGGCACAACACGACAAUUUUGUGGCUUAUUCUCUGUUUUCCAGUUAUGAAGGGCCUGAUAUAGACUUAAACACUCCUGAAUCGGUUGUGGGAGUUCCAGCUGAGGAUCAGCGUCAACCACCAAAGUAGGUGCUUUGAGUCCUUUUCUGCUUUUUAUUUGCAGUUGCAUGGUAUUCUAGUUCUAUCCUUUAUUUAUUUUCUUUAUAUGAUUGUAAUAAUAAACUUCCAAAUCUGGAUCAACCACAAAUUUAAGGGCAAGUAAAGAUAAAAAGGGAAUGUAUUUACUUGCAAUAACAGUUGUUACUUGCAACAACAGUUGUUACUUGCAAUAGCAGUUGCUAGACGGACUUCUCACUAAGUCAUCAUGAGUAUUCGACUCACAGCCUAGGUCUACCGCUAAAUCUAUGGCACUAGAGGUAGUAAAAGGCUGUGCUCGAGGGGUUCAAAUGUAAAUACAACUGGCAAGGGUAGUGCUCAGUUUGGUCAUCCUCUUAGUGUAUGCAUGUGUUUGUGAACAAGAUGAAGAGAACUGAUACGAAAAGAAUUCAUCAAUUUGCUUGCUAACAACUUUUUACAUGGACACAUCUGAUAAGAAAGAUAUCUAGGAGGGAAAGAAAAGGCCGGGAAUGAGAGAAAAGACAAAUAAGAAUGUCUGAUGUAGAUUAGAUUGACCUUGAGCAGGACCGUUAGCUGAGUUGGCAAUUAAAUGAGUUCUUAGUAAUUUAUUGUGUCGUUGAUUAUAUAUGGGUAAUAAUGUGAUGUCUGCCGUAAGGGUUUCGGAAUUACAAAAGAGAAAUAAAAAUGAAUGUUGACACUUUUAGCUUGGUAUUGCGUCUUAAUUCUCAACCAGUCUGAAUACACUUUAUUUCCCUCUAGCUUUAAUGUUGUUAAUAUUUUUAAUGUGAUUUCACUUUGUUUCAGCUAACAUAUAAUAGAAUUGAAACAUUUUUUUAAUUCAUAUUUGGUCAUAUUUUAUCUUUGUAUGUAGUAUUGUAUAUCCUCCAGUUCCCCCAUUUGACUACAAUGACGCGAUCCCUGGGGCUGGUGCUGGGUUUUAUCCUAACAGGUUUGUUUUCGAGCCUCACCAUAUUUAUGUCGUAUAAUUUACUAUCCAAUCUAUGAUCUCAUAUGAUCAUAUUCAUUCAUUUCAGGGGUCCCGGAAUCGGUGGAGACAUGCUCGUAGGUAAUUAACUUAUUCUUCAGUUAUACAAUAUCGGAUUACUUCAAUUAAUUCUUAGAAAUUUGCUUAAUGCUCUUAUCAUUGCACAGGGCCAAAUAAUCCAAUCUUUUUCCCUCCUGGUGGACGCCCUGAUACUCUAGGUGGAUUGCCGUGAGUAACAUCUAUUUAUUUUUCUGUAUCAUCAAAAUCUGCUUAUCUUGUCCAAAUCUACAGAAUCAUUUUGUAUUAAAGGUACUAAUACAUGUAAAUCUGAUACAGUGGUGUACCUCCUGGUGCUCGGUUCGAUCCCAUUGGUCCUCCUGAUGUUCCAGGCUUUGAGCCUGGUCGCUUUGUCAGGUACACUUCAAUAGAUAUUUAAGCAACUAAUAGAUGAACCAAGUUUUGUGGCCACAAAGUAUUCAUUAUCUGAUGUUCGCCUAUAAGAUUAAAAAAACCAUAGCAUGCUUAUUGUAGACAUUGUUUAUUUUCGCCUGUCUGGUUAUCUUAUAAAUUGCUUCUUAUUUUAAUAUGUUGGUGCGGUAAAUUUCUGUUUCUGAUAAGCCUCUGCUGUAAAUUCUAUGCAGGCGUCAGCGGAGGCCCGGCGGCGGUACUCAUCCAGAUCUUGAAUUCUUCCAACAAGGCCCUGACUUCAUAUAGAGUGUUGCCUCAGUUGCGCGGCAAUUUUGCGUUUUCACCAUGGUUUUGAUGCAUGCAUAUGUUUGCCGCAUAUAUAGCUGACAGACAUAUACCUGACAGACAGUGCAAUAAGUUUCCUUUCUGUUGCAUCUAAAUAUAUGACAAAAAAGAUGUUCUAUGGUGUUAUACUCCUGUGAAUGUGGUGCACUGUGUCCUUUCAUUACCAUGUUCUGCUUUUAGUAGCAUCAUGAACUCUUCUGAGUUCCUUGAGCCAAUUAGGGUGAUCUCUCUUCUUAGAUCCACUUUUGCUUGUGGGACGUCAUCAUCAUUAAUGAAUUUUUAGAGCCUUAAAAGACAGUUUUAUUUUAGUGCUUCUGAUGUGUUUUAUAUGGAGAGAACCUGUUGGUGAGAUAUAUUUGAUAUAUUGCUUCUUUCCUAUUGUAGUAUUUGCGAAGUACUUUUUCUAACAACACUGCACUGUAAAUCAGGCUGGAACAUAAAAGUAAAAUAAAAUUAGCAAGCCAAAAGGCUGGAACAUAAAAAAAAAAAAAAAAAAAAAAAAAAAAAAAAAAAAAAAAAAAAAAAAAAAAAAAAAAAAAAAAAAAAAAAAAAAAAAAAAAAAAAAAAAAAAAAAA
Molecule: long non-coding RNA, 23239 nt
Filed under: Ananas comosus (pineapple)
Lineage: Eukaryota; Viridiplantae; Streptophyta; Magnoliopsida; Poales; Bromeliaceae
Description: long non-coding RNA (ACOM_LNC012714)
Source: RNAcentral